AUGAUCUCCAGCACCUUCAAGAUCAACAUUGACUCUGAAGAGUUGGUGGUGGUAAGGGACCCGGGAGCUGAAGAUGUUUAUCCCCUAAAAAAAUGGGAAUUUGCAGUGGACGAAGAGUUUGAGUCUCUAAAGUCACGCUAUAACAUCCACUUCGAGGUUGAAAGUGACAAAUCUGCGAUUCUAGAAGAAAACUCUUUCCUUCAAAGUGAUAACUUAAAAAUCUAUUUUGAAGAACUAACAUGUUUAGCUGUGGUGGUUGGAGAACAAAGAGAAGUGGAGAAGAUUUUAAGUGGCUUGCAGAACAAACAGCAGGUUCAAAAAGAGUGUUGUGUGUCUGAGAAACAAUUUAACCUCAUCAAAGAGGUGUUUGAGCCAUACAUAAAAUCGAAUUUACCUGCGCUUAAGAUCACACAGGAACGAGCAGGCGUUCUCCUAAAGGGUCCCGAGAAAGAGGUUCAUGCAGGUGAAAAUGAGCUUUUAAAAUUAGCAAAAGGAAUCAAAGAGAAGAGGAUCCCAUCACAUCAUCCUCUUAUGACCUUUUUGGAAUCAAGUGGCGGUAUACAGCACUUCCAAAACCGAUUUCAGCAGAGCCUCCGCAGCCCAGUUAUGCUUGAGACUUCAGGUUCAGAUGUUCUUCUGUUGAGUCUGUCUGAUGGAGCUCUAGAGGAGGCGGCUGCUGCCGUGGAGAGAGACUUGUGUUUGGAGACUGUGCGCCUGGACAAUACUCAGAAAUCUUCUGCAUUUACUAAGCUGAAGGAGGAUUUGAGCGAAGCCGUCAAGCAGGCCAAUCACAAAAGUGUUAAAGUGGAGCUUAAAUACCAGGAUGAAUCAACUUCUGACCCCAAGGUUCAACUUGUGGGCUACACACCUGAAGUCAGUAAGCUGAAGAACAUUGUGCUGGUAUACAAAAGAAACCAUCAGAUCCAUCAUGCAUCCCUGCCUCUUUCCAGUCCAGAGAUGGCAGAGCACUUCUCUGAGAUCAUGGCAAUUGGCGGCAUGAAGAAGAGCAGUGUGGAAAUAAAGCCAACAAAUUCACCUUCCCCAUGUGUCCACCUCAAGGGACCUCGCUGUGAAGUUGAGAGCUUGAAGGACAGCCUUGAGUCAUGCCUUCAGAGGCUUGCCACUAAACGAUGUGAGGUGAAAGGACCUGGAGUUCAACAGUUUUUUCAAAGUGAAGGUGCAAGGAUCUUGCAAUUGGUGAAGAAUUCUUAUAUGGUUGGGAUACUGCCUAUAGAUGAUAAGCAGAAAAGAGGUAAAGAACCCAAAUACAUGAGCAGUCUCAACCUCCAGAGCUCACCAUUUACGUCUGCAGCUUCCCAAGACACUCUGGACUCUGAAAAAGAGAUAGACAUUAAAGUUGUGGUUGGUAGCCUUGAACAACAGCAGGCAAGUCUACAAAUUACUUUGUAUUUAUGUUACACCUCUCAAACAGAACUAUUGAGUAACUUAUGUGAUUCAUAUAAUUAA
This 1467-nucleotide long non-coding RNA is filed under the name Sinocyclocheilus grahami. RNAcentral's name for it is "lncRNA (ENSSGRG00000007564.1)". The record is from RNAcentral. Lineage: Eukaryota; Metazoa; Chordata; Actinopteri; Cypriniformes; Cyprinidae.